Molecule: long non-coding RNA, 876 nt
Organism: Ostrea edulis (European flat oyster)
Lineage: Eukaryota; Metazoa; Mollusca; Bivalvia; Ostreida; Ostreidae
Exons: 2
Source: RefSeq, a predicted model, not a curated record
GAUUUGGAUACUGGAGGGCGGGCAGUACGGAUUUGAAAUGAAAGGAAAGACAACACUCUUACCAUUUUUCAUGCUGUGUGUUUUCGGUCCUGCUGUUUGCCACCUUCCAAAGUUCAUCGAAAAAUUCGACAGACAGAUAAGGAACUCGGAAGACCAAUCUUCGGCCGUUUCGCACUUUCAGAGAUACACGUUAGAUAGAUCAAAUUUACCUAUUUCUACUGACGAGCGGAGCGUACCCCGACAUCUUAUACACCAUGCGCAGCCAUUUUCCACAGACAUCGACUUGCCUUGGCAAUGUGAACAGGAAUAUUUUUGGCGAGAUUUAGGAGAAAUGCACUUUCCAAGACAUUUAAAGGAAGUGCGAUGCUUAAAUACGACCUGUUGGUAUGGGCAUUAUCGAUGUGUACCUGCCAAAUAUUCUGCAAGGAUUCUAACCAGAAGUGCUGACGGUGAUGACGAUGGGAACGUGCCAUUUCCGCUUCGCCUUGAAUGGAAGUUUGAGAAUGUAGACAUUACAGUCGGGUGCACCUGCUCCAGGUAGAGGAAAAAUAAAUGAAUAGUUCUUUCUGCUAACGCUUUCACCCUUAUGAUGCACGUGUUCAUUUCAAACUUCGUGAUAUCUAUCGGUUAUGGAUUUGCUAAUCUCUCCCAGAAUUCCAUGCUAAAUAUAUGAACUAUACACAAUGAAAUGAUAUAAAAAUGUGUGUCGUAAAAGUUAAUUAUAUAGCUAUUGGAAAUACAUGUACGUAAAAUGUUUUAUUUUAGUGAGUGAUCUCCGCAGAUAUCAAUUCAAAUUGUAAAUCAUGAUGCACAACUUUAAAAAUAUUGCAUUAGUUUUGUAUUGAAUUUGCAAAAUAAAGUUCUUUGUAACACGCA